GUGGAGUCAGAGGGACUAUAAAACCAGCUCUGGGAGGGGCGAAGGGAAGAGUUCGUUGGGAGUUGGGUGGUUGGUUGGAGUGGGAGUGAAUUGGGAGAGAGUCUGUGGGUAGGUUGAGUUAGUGUAGCAAAUAAGCUGAGUCAGGAACAGUUAGGAGCUAGGAAGACAAGUAAAUAUCUGAGAGGUGGUUUAGUGAGUGAGAGCAGGUAGCAGAAGUUAUAGGUCUGGAUAGGCACCCCAUGACUAUAAUUGACCGAUACCGUUUAUGGAACCACACACUUGUUAAACUGCAAUAAAUAAACAGAAGCUUAUGUUCCAAUUUAACCCUGACUGGACUCAAUAUUGUACUAGGUAGGGCCUGGGUGGUGGCAGCAAGAAAUAAAGUGGUGGCACAGGGAUCAAUAGACGGUGAAACGUCCGGGGACCCUGUGUGAUCGCUACACAGAGGUUUUCAACCUUUUUGAGUCCAUGGCUCCCUUGACCAACUCCAUUCUUUCUGUGGCACCCCUGUGGGGCACAGGAGCCCAGUUAGGUCACCCCUUGCCUGCAGAGCUGGCAGCCCCUCACCCCUUUUUCAAACACCCUUCCUUGCGGAGUUUGAAGUCACCUUCUGUUUCAGUGUAUCUGAAGAAGUGUGCAUGCACACGAAAGCUCAUACCCAGAACAAACUUAGUUGGUCUCUAAGGUGCUACUGGGCAAUUUUUUUAUUUAUUGAAAGAGGUUGUGUUCUUAUAACAGUAAAGAAUCUUACAUUGCAUAUCAGGGAAGGACUGACCUUGCGAUGCAUUUUGGUAUAUUUUUCGUACGCAAAAUCCAGUAUUUGUUCAUUUAACUUGACUUGAAUGAUUUGUAGAAUAGAAGUUUGGUAUCUUUUAUAAACACCUAUUCUAUUUUGAACAAAAUCUUCCCUUAGGAGAGAGAACGAAGGUCGCCAGCUUUUAACCUCCAUAUAACUGCAUUCCCUGAAAACAAUGGAAGUGCACUUCAACUGUUUUGUCAUCACGAGGGAAUAAAGGUAGAUGGAAAUUUGUUGGUUAUUGUGCAGCAUCUUUCAAGGUGGUCUGUGGGCCACCAGACUUGAUGCGAUGGCAGCAGUGGCAUUUGUGUGGUCAAAUCUCUUUCCUGUUAGUUCUCACAAAGCAGAAAGUGGGGUCUAAACACCAAAGGGGAUGCAUAGAUGUGAGGAGGGACCUCUUCUCCAGCCAGAGCUCUGCUUACCUCUAGAAUCAGAGCUGUAUUAAGGGGAAAGUGGCUUUGGUGAUGAGCCAGGG
Molecule: non-coding RNA, 1271 nt
Organism: Podarcis lilfordi (Lilford's wall lizard)
Lineage: Eukaryota; Metazoa; Chordata; Lepidosauria; Squamata; Lacertidae
Source: the annotation of a GenBank genome assembly